UACAGAGGUCCCAAGCGUUGUUCGGAUUCACUGGGCGUAAAGGGUGCGUAGGCGGUCGGGUAAGUCUGAUGUGAAAUCUUCAAGCUUAACUUGGAAACUGCAUCGGAUACUAUUCGGCUAGAGGAAUGGAGGGGAGACUGGAAUACUUGGUGUAGCAGUGAAAUGCGUAGAUAUCAGGAGGAACACCUAUUGCGAAGGCAGCUCGCUGGGACGUUACUGACGCUGAGACGCGAAAGCGUGGGGAGCAAACAGG
RNAcentral lists this ribosomal RNA (253 nucleotides) under uncultured bacterium. Its description in RNAcentral is "partial 16S ribosomal RNA". It matches the Rfam family "Bacterial small subunit ribosomal RNA", at positions 524 to 776 of the family's 1533-position model. The record is from RNAcentral.